RNAcentral lists this long non-coding RNA (868 nucleotides) under Vitis vinifera (wine grape). RNAcentral describes it as "long non-coding RNA (VVIN_LNC004944)". The record is from RNAcentral. Lineage: Eukaryota; Viridiplantae; Streptophyta; Magnoliopsida; Vitales; Vitaceae.
ACGUCCCUCUCAAACUCUUGGUUGAGUUCAAUAAAUUUCUAUCCGCUGUCUUUACCAUUCCUUAAUUUCUUUCUUCUAUGUUUGAUUUACUUUUGUAUCAAUUAAUCUCUAUCUAAUUUAGGGUUUUUAUUUUUUGUUUUGGGAACAUAUCCAAAAUGAGUAUCCAUAACCAAACCUCCUCGAUUCGCCACAUCACUGUCAAUAUUAUUUUUUUUCUUUUUUUUUUUCCAAUGGGCUGCCACGUGGCCGCCCCUCCAAUUUGUCAAGGGUUUUUGCAGGUACGUGGAAUCAACCCAUACAACCCUGGACAAUACAACCCAUACAACGCCGGACUCGGUAAGUAGAGUCAGGGGUUGUCUUUUAUGUGACAAAACUAACCCUUGUGAGUUUUGUAAUAUCGUAUGCCCUGACUCCACGUGUUUGAGUGCAGGGUUAGUUUUGUCACAAGGCAUACAAAACUAACCCAAAACUGACCCUUGAACCCCCUCUAUAUAAAGGGUAUACUGCUGGAACAAUUAAUCACGCAACCAUCUUCUGGAGAUCGGUGGCCUGGUCUGUAAGAAAGAGGCAGCGGGGAGUGCUGGAGAGAACGAAGGUAAUUUCCUUCUUCUCUCGGAGGCCUGGUCUGUAAGAAAUAGGCAGCAGGGAGUGAUCGGGUACGUCCCUCUCCAACUAUUGGUUGAGUUCAAUAAAUAUCUAUCUGCUGUCUCUACCAUUCCUUAAUUUCUUUCUUCACUGUUUGAUUUCCUUUUGUAUCAUUUAAUCUCUAUCUAAUUUAGGGUUUUUUUUUUUUUGUUUUGGGAACAGAUCCAAAAUGAGUAUCCAUAACCAAACCUCCUCGAUUCACCACAUCACUGUCAAUAUUGUG